This 458-nucleotide ribosomal RNA is filed under the name uncultured bacterium. RNAcentral's name for it is "bacterial SSU rRNA". It matches the Rfam family "Bacterial small subunit ribosomal RNA", at positions 62 to 520 of the family's 1533-position model. The record is from RNAcentral.
UCGAGCGGGAAGCNUUUUAAGGAUUCUUCGGAUGAAUUAAAAAGUGGAGAGCGGCGGACGGGUGAGUAACGCGUGAGAAACCUGCCCUAUACAGGGGGGAUAGCCAUUGGAAACGAUGAUUAAUACCCCAUAUGACCACAGUAUCGCAUGAUACAGCGGUGAAAACUCCGGUGGUAUAGGAUGGUCUCGCGUCUGAUUAGCUAGUUGGUGGGGUAACGGCCUACCAAGGCGACGAUCAGUAGCCGGCCUGAGAGGGUGACCGGCCACACUGGAACUGAGACACGGUCCAGACUCCUACGGGAGGCAGCAGUGGGGAAUAUUGCACAAUGGGCGAAAGCCUGAUGCAGCGACGCCGCGUGAACGAUGAAGGCUUUCGAGUCGUAAAGUUCUGUUCUUGGGGAAGAUAACGACGGUACCCAAGGAGAAAGCACCGGCUAAAUACGUGCCAGCAGCCGCGG